AUGACGACGAAGAAGACAACGAGGAGGAAUUUGUAGGGAGUGGAGAAGCUGAACCAGCCCUUAUUGAGCGUUGACUGCAAUAUUCUCUUGGUUGAUCGGAUUGCGUCGUAGAAUAUGUGGCACUAGAGACCCACGUCUUCGCGUCCCGUACGACACACUAUACGCGCACCCGCACCUGCACCUGUACUCUCGGCGUCCUAGCUAUUCGACACACACUCGUUCACGUCGCACAAUCGCAGUGCUGCGAGGUCUGGCCACGGUGUCUUCGGGAACGCGAACGCCACGAGGAACGAUUCAGCGAAACACAAUGGCAAGGAGAGACGAGGAAAGAGAAACGAUUAGACAGUCAGAUAAGUGAAGAAACAUAAAGAAAGAAAAAGAAAGACAAAGACAAAAAGAUAGAAACGAAUUAAAUGAAAAAAAAAAGAUUUAUGAGAUUCUUGACAUGUACAUGAUAUAUUGCAUGUGAUUAAUUUUAGGAAUAUAUUUAAAAAUAAAUUUUUUUUAAA
Molecule: long non-coding RNA, 509 nt
Organism: Apis laboriosa (Himalayan honeybee)
Lineage: Eukaryota; Metazoa; Arthropoda; Insecta; Hymenoptera; Apidae
Exons: 2
Source: RefSeq, a predicted model, not a curated record